This 301-nucleotide ribosomal RNA is filed under the name uncultured bacterium. RNAcentral's name for it is "partial 16S ribosomal RNA". It matches the Rfam family "Bacterial small subunit ribosomal RNA", at positions 509 to 807 of the family's 1533-position model. The record is from RNAcentral.
CAGUCGCCGCGGGAAUACGUAGGGUGCGAGCGUUAAUCGGAAUUACUGGGCGUAAAGCGUGCGCAGGCGGUGAUGUAAGACAGAUGUGAAAUCCCCGGGCUCAACCUGGGAACUGCAUUAGUGACUGCAUCGCUGGAGUGCGGCAGAGGGGGAUGGAAUUCCGCGUGUAGCAGUGAAAUGCGUAGAUAUGCGGAGGAACACCGAUGGCGAAGGCAAUCCCCUGGGCCUGCGCUGACGCUCAUGCACGAAAGCGUGGGGAGCAAACAGGAUUAGAUACCCGUGUAGUCCCUGUCUCUUAUAC